UUUGUCGCGUUGUUCGUGAAAUCUCACGGCUUAACUGUGAGCGUGCGGGCGAUACGGGCAGACUUGAGUACUGCAGGGGAGACUGGAAUUCCUGGUGUAGCGGUGGAAUGCGCAGAUAUCAGGAGGAACACCGGUGGCGAAGGCGGGUCUCUGGGCAGUAACUGACGCUGAGGAGCGAAAGCGUGGGGAGCGAACAGGAUUAGAUACCCUGGUAGUCCACGCCGUAAACGGUGGGUACUAGGUGUGGGUUUCCUUCCUUGGGAUCCGUGCCGUAGCUAACGCAUUAAGUACCCCGCCUGGGGAGUACGGCCGCAAGGCUAAAACUCAAAGAAAUUGACGGGGGCCCGCACAAGCGGCGGAGCAUGUGGAUUAAUUCGAUGCAACGCGAAGAACCUUACCUGGGUUUGACAUGCACAGGACGCCGGCAGAGAUGUCGGUUCCCUUGUGGCCUGUGUGCAGGUGGUGCAUGGCUGUCGUCAGCUCGUGUCGUGAGAUGUUGGGUUAAGUCCCGCAACGAGCGCAACCCUUGUCUCAUGUUGCCAGCGGGUAAUGCCGGGGACUCGUGAGAGACUGCCGGGGUCAACUCGGAGGAAGGUGGGGAUGACGUCAAGUCAUCAUGCCCCUUAUGUCCAGGGCUUCACACAUGCUACAAUGGCCGGUACAAAGGGCUGCGAUGCCGCGAGGUUAAGCGAAUCCUUUUAAAGCCGGUCUCAGUUCGGAUCGGGGUCUGCAACUCGACCCCGUGAAGUCGGAGUCG
This 757-nucleotide ribosomal RNA is filed under the name uncultured bacterium. RNAcentral's name for it is "bacterial SSU rRNA". It matches the Rfam family "Bacterial small subunit ribosomal RNA", at positions 579 to 1334 of the family's 1533-position model. The record is from RNAcentral.